Molecule: ribosomal RNA, 434 nt
Filed under: uncultured Pseudobutyrivibrio sp.
Lineage: Bacteria; Bacillati; Bacillota; Clostridia; Lachnospirales; Lachnospiraceae
Description: partial 16S ribosomal RNA
Rfam family: Bacterial small subunit ribosomal RNA
Source: RNAcentral
ACGGAAGGCAGCAGUGGGGAAUAUUGCACAAUGGGCGCAAGCCUGAUGCAGCGACGCCGCGUGAGCGAAGAAGUAUUUCGGUAUGUAAAGCUCUAUCAGCAGGGAAGAUAAUGACGGUACCUGACUAAGAAGCACCGGCUAAAUACGUGCCAGCAGCCGCGGUAAUACGUAUGGUGCAAGCGUUAUCCGGAUUUACUGGGUGUAAAGGGAGCGUAGGCGGUCUAGCAAGUCUGAUGUGAAAACCCGGGGCUCAACUUCGGGAUUGCAUUGGAAACUGUCAGACUAGAGUGUCGGAGGGGUAAGUGGAAUUCCUAGUGUAGCGGUGAAAUGCGUAGAUAUUAGGAGGAACACCAGUGGCGAAGGCGGCUUACUGGACGGUAACUGACGUUGAGGCUCGAAAGCGUGGGGAGCAAACAGGAUUAGAUACCCUGGUA